Molecule: ribosomal RNA, 216 nt
Filed under: uncultured bacterium
Lineage: Bacteria
Description: partial 16S ribosomal RNA
Rfam family: Bacterial small subunit ribosomal RNA
Source: RNAcentral
UGGGAACGUGCCCAAAGGUACGGAACAACUCCGGGAAACUGGAGCUAAUACCGUAUGUGCCCGAAAGGGGAAAGAUUCAUCGCCUUUGGAUCGGCCCGCGUCUGAUUAGCUAGUUGGCGGGGUAAUGGCCCACCAAGGCGACGAUCAGUAGCUGGUCUGAGAGGAUGACCAGCCACACUGGGACUGAGACACGGCCCAGGCUCCUACGGGAGGCAG